Molecule: small RNA, 968 nt
Filed under: Cryptococcus neoformans H99
Lineage: Eukaryota; Fungi; Basidiomycota; Tremellomycetes; Tremellales; Cryptococcaceae
Description: Cryptococcus neoformans var. grubii H99 hypothetical RNA
Rfam family: RNase MRP (bases 1-647)
About the family: RNase MRP is an enzymatically active ribonucleoprotein with two distinct roles in eukaryotes. In mitochondria it plays a direct role in the initiation of mitochondrial DNA replication.
Source: RNAcentral
CAAGAAUCGCUUUUGCAGUUCACGCACUGGUUGGCAUUGCGACCAUCCAAUCUCGCACUGUGGGUCGAAAGUCCCCGGAGCCUCCCCCAUCUCGUCUUUACUCCUAUCCUCUCCGCUAUUCUUUCUGCUUCCCCCCAGACGCACGAUAUUCUCAGCUUGUCUUUAUGCCUUCCUAUCAACCCCUUUACCAUCACCCCCUUGUUUUGGUUCGAUACUUCUGCCGGGAAAGCGCUGUACCUAAGACUACAGAGUGGCGGUUGUAAUCGGAUUGAGGGUGCGUGAUGGAGAGGUAAGUGAACGGUCUGGUUUGGAUAGUUGAGUUGUAUUGUGUAGGGUGUGGCAAGUGGUUGUUUGGCUGGCCUUGGCGUCCCGCUGGUUUUUUUUCUUUCUGUGUAGCAAUCCGGUUCAUCCAGUGCCUCAUGGAGGGUGCCAGUGCUGGGGUCUGGAUUGGGGUUUCCUUUUUUUUGCGGUCUGCUGGCUUCAGGCGAAGAUAUGAGCCUUGGUCGGUUGUCAUGGCUGCAUGAAGGAUGGCGGGUUGACAAUGGGGGAUGAAACGAAUGCGCUCAUAGCUAUAGUCAUGCGAUUGCCUGUUUUACCCACCCACUCCGUGGUGUGGUGGGGUAGGUAACUCGAUGGGGCUUACUCUGUGUUUUUGGGCUGCUUCCAUUUCACCCUUUUUUCUUUUAUUUUAUUUCAUUUUUAUUCUUUUAUUCUUUACGGUCUUACCGCCCACACAUCUGGUAAUGACUGUAGCUGCAUCUGGUCACGCGAACCGUCGGCCUGAGCAGUUUUUGAUGACCCAGUGAUGUUGUUGAAUUUCUUCAUCGCUAGCUCGAGAAGUCUGACCGCCUGACAUCGGUUAUACAAGGACUUCUCGAAGCACGGAGCGACAAUUUAUUCUUCUGAGGGUCUUUCCAUAAUAUAAUGUUUCACAAAUCUCGCCGCAUGCAUACAAUCACUUUUUUAUC